GGGGUUGUGGCUCAGUGGUAGAGCACUCGCCUAACACGUGUGUGGCACAGGGUUUGAUUCUCAGCAACACAU
Non-coding RNA from Ictidomys tridecemlineatus (thirteen-lined ground squirrel), 72 nucleotides. NCBI's taxonomy places the organism in Eukaryota, Metazoa, Chordata, Mammalia, Rodentia, Sciuridae. The record is from Rfam.